GAAACGGCUCGGACGGCGGUGCCGUAACACAUGCAAGUCGAACCGAAGCGAUGACCCGUUCGAGGGCCGUUCGGGCGGGAGAGGGGCGAUGACUUAGUGGCGGACGGGUGGAGUAACGCGUGGGUAACCUGCCCUAUACUGGGGGAGUAACAGCUAGAAAUGGCUGCUAAUACCGCAUGAGCGCACAGUCCCGCAUGGGACAGUGCGGAAACUCCGGUGGUAUAGGAUGGACCCGCGUCCGAUCAGCUGGUUGGUGGGGUAACGGCCCACCAAGGCGACGAUCGGUAGCCGACCUGAGAGGGUGACCGGCCACAUUGGGACUGAGACACGGCCCAAACUCCUACGGGAGGCAGCAGUGGGGGAUAUUGCACAAUGGGGGGAACCCUGAUGCAGCGACGCCGCGUGAGUGAAGGAGUACUCCGGUAUGUAAAGCUCUAUCAGCAGGGAAGAAGCAAGACGGUACCUGACCAAGAAGCCUCGGCUAACUACGUG
Molecule: ribosomal RNA, 492 nt
Filed under: uncultured Lachnospiraceae bacterium
Lineage: Bacteria; Bacillati; Bacillota; Clostridia; Lachnospirales; Lachnospiraceae
Description: bacterial SSU rRNA
Rfam family: Bacterial small subunit ribosomal RNA
Source: RNAcentral